Molecule: ribosomal RNA, 420 nt
Filed under: uncultured bacterium
Lineage: Bacteria
Description: bacterial SSU rRNA
Rfam family: Bacterial small subunit ribosomal RNA
Source: RNAcentral
GCUUAACGCGAAGAACCUUACCCAGGCUAGAAAAGUAGAGAACCCUGUAGAAAUAUGGGGUGCCUCGGGAGCUCUAUCAGUGCUGCAUGGCUGUCGUCAGCUCGUGUCGUGAGAUGUUGGGUUAAGUCCGCAACGAGCGCAACCCUUGUCAUUAGUUGCUAACGGUCUGGCCGAGCACUCUAAUGAGACUGCCGGGGUUAACCCGGAGGAAGGUGGGGAUGACGUCAAGUCCUCAUGGCCCUUAUGUCUGGGGCUACACACGUGCUACAACGGUCGGUACAAAGCGCAGCGAGCCCGUGAGGGGGAGCGAAUCGCAAAAAGCCGGCCUCAGUACGGAUUGCAGUCUGCAACUCGACUGCAUGAAGGCGGAAUCGCUAGUAAUCGUUGAUCAGCAGGCAACGGUGAAUACGUUCCCGGGUC